Long non-coding RNA from Rhagoletis zephyria (snowberry fruit fly), 225 nucleotides. RefSeq lists it as uncharacterized. Lineage: Eukaryota; Metazoa; Arthropoda; Insecta; Diptera; Tephritidae. The record is from RefSeq and is a predicted model, not a curated record.
UUAGUGAGUUCAAACAGACAAACAAUUGCAGUUUUAUUAUAGUAUAGAUAGAUAGAAGAUAGAAGAUUAAGGGCCGGAUUCACAGCGUUUAGUUAAAUCAUUGUUAACUUAUAUUACGUUCAAAUUGGCCCCAUUUAACUUGUUAAAUGAAAAAGAGCAUUUUGUAAAACACAAUCGUUCACAUUGAAUAUUUGGUGUUAAUUUUAACGGUUGCAAUGCGAAUUC